CUUGGUAACGAUAGCAGAGUGGGUACACCUGUUCCCAUCCCGAACACAGAAGUUAAGCACUCUAACGCCGACGAUAGUGAAUGCAAAAAUAGGAAGCCGCCAAGA
Molecule: ribosomal RNA, 105 nt
Filed under: Candidatus Onthousia faecigallinarum
Lineage: Bacteria; Bacillati; Bacillota; Bacilli
Source: RNAcentral